This 21-nucleotide microRNA is filed under the name Homo sapiens (human). Its description in RNAcentral is "Hsa-Mir-3138_5p* (star (passenger))". The record is from RNAcentral. Lineage: Eukaryota; Metazoa; Chordata; Mammalia; Primates; Hominidae.
ACUUCCCCCACCUCACUGCCC